AACUUUCGACAAUGGAUCACUUGGCUCUCGCAUCGAUGAAGAACCCAGCGAAAUGCGAUAAGUAAUGUGAAUUGCAGAUUUUCAGUGAAUCAUCGAAUCUUUGAACGCACCUUGCGCCCCUUGGUCUUCCGACGGGCAUGCCUGUUUGAGUGUCAUUAAAUUCUCAACUCCAAUCGAUCUGUUUCGAUCCUGGAGCUUGGACUUGGAGCGACCUGGCGUAUAGUCAGCUCCUCUCAAAUGCAUGGGCUGAAUUAAACCUUUGAUAGCCUGAUGUCAGUGUGAUAACCAGGGUUACGCUGUCGUCAAGGGUCGGAGUCCGCUUACAAUCGUCCACGUGACAAAAACACCUUAUCAAAGUUGACCUCAAAUCAGGUACGACUACCCGCUGAUCUAUAGCAUAACGAUAAGCGCAGGGU
Molecule: unclassified non-coding RNA, 416 nt
Filed under: uncultured Atheliaceae
Lineage: Eukaryota; Fungi; Basidiomycota; Agaricomycetes; Atheliales; Atheliaceae
Description: sequence contains ITS2
Rfam family: 5.8S ribosomal RNA (bases 1-155)
Source: RNAcentral